CAGCGAGGAAACCUUGGAAGUGGGCCAUCUUCCCAGCCAGCUGGAAGCAUCAAUGGCAGAAGUUGAAAGAAGAUUACCUGUCGAAGAAAGUCCUUCGUGCUUAAUGCAACUGCCUCUCCUGAGGAAACAAACUGAGAAAUCUCAGACAGUUGAGAGCUGCUGUUGACAGACUGGUAACAGGCAAACAUGCUGAUGACCUACAACUGACGGUGAAGCUAAGUUUCCCAGAACAAGGCUUUUCCUAUUAUUUAGCUCCCAAUUGGACAACAAGCUGCUUAUCCUGAAUAAAAUCCAAUAUUUAC
This is a long non-coding RNA of Carcharodon carcharias (great white shark), 302 nucleotides long. RefSeq lists it as uncharacterized. The transcript is spliced from 3 exons. The record is from RefSeq and is a predicted model, not a curated record. Lineage: Eukaryota; Metazoa; Chordata; Chondrichthyes; Lamniformes; Lamnidae.